This 456-nucleotide ribosomal RNA is filed under the name uncultured bacterium. RNAcentral describes it as "bacterial SSU rRNA". It matches the Rfam family "Bacterial small subunit ribosomal RNA", at positions 28 to 485 of the family's 1533-position model. The record is from RNAcentral.
GACGAACGCUGGCGGCGUGCUUAACACAUGCAAGUCGAGCGGGGAUUGAUGGAGUGCUUGCACGAAAUCAAUUCUAGCGGCGGACGGGUGAGUAACGCGUGAGCAAUCUGUCCUACACAGGGGGAUAACAACUGGAAACAGUUGCUAAUACCGCAUAAGACCACGAGGUCGCAUGGCCAUGGGGGUAAAAAGAUUUAUCGGUGUAGGGUGAGCUCGCGUCUGAUUAGCUAGUUGGUGAGGUAACGGGCCCACCAAGGCGACGAUCAGUAGCCGACCUGAGAGGGUGAUCGGCCACAUUGGGAACUGAGACACGGUCCAGGACUCCUACGGGAGGCAGCAGUGGGGAAUAUUGGGCAAUGGGCGCAAGCCUGACCCAGCAACGCCGCGUGAAGGAGAAGGUUUUCGGAUUGUAAACUUCUAGUCCUUGGUGACGAACACAAUGACGGUAGCCAAGGA